GCCCUCGUAGCUCAGUGGAUAGAGCACCGGACUUCUAAUCCGAUGGUCGCAGGUUCGAAUCCUGCCGGGGGCA
Molecule: transfer RNA, 73 nt
Filed under: Catenulispora yoronensis
Lineage: Bacteria; Bacillati; Actinomycetota; Actinomycetes; Catenulisporales; Catenulisporaceae
Also listed under: 9 other names
Description: tRNA-Arg
Rfam family: tRNA
About the family: Transfer RNA (tRNA) molecules are approximately 80 nucleotides in length. Their secondary structure includes four short double-helical elements and three loops (D, anti-codon, and T loops).
Source: RNAcentral